RNAcentral lists this ribosomal RNA (810 nucleotides) under uncultured bacterium. RNAcentral's name for it is "bacterial SSU rRNA". It matches the Rfam family "Bacterial small subunit ribosomal RNA", at positions 61 to 892 of the family's 1533-position model. The record is from RNAcentral.
GUCGUACGGGCGUAGCAAUACGCCAGUGGCGAAAGGGACAGUAAUAUGUAGGUUACCUGCCUUCAGGACAGGGAUAGCGGCGGGAAACUGCCGGUAAUACCUGAUAAUAUCUCCGGAUCAAAGGUGUGAAUCCGCCUGAAGAUGGGCCUAUAUCCUAUUAGCUUGUUGGUAAGGUAAUGGCUUACCAAGGCGAUGAUGGGUAGCGGGUGUGAGAGCACGACCCGCGUCAUUGGGACUGAGACACUGCCCAGACACCUACGGGUGGCUGCAGUCGAGAAUCUUCGGCAAUGGGCGCAAGCCUGACCGAGCGACGCCGCGUGCGGGAUGAAGGCCUUCGGGUUGUAAACCGCUGUCAGUGGGGAGGAAGGCCGUGUGAAGAGCACGGUUUGACCUAUCCGCAGAGGAAGUGUGGGCUAAGCUCGUGCCAGCAGCCGCGGUAAGACGAGCCACACAAACGUUAUUCGGAAUCACUGGGCUUAAAGGGUGCGUAGGCGGCGCGGCAAGUUGGAUGUGAAAUCCCUCAGCUUAACUGAGGAACUGCGUUCAAAACUGCCGUGCUCGAGGGAGAUAGAGGAGUGCGGAACUUACGGUGGAGCGGUGAAAUGCGUUGAUAUCGUAGGGAACACCGGUGGCGAAAGCGGCACUCUGGAUCUCUUCUGACGCUGAGGCACGAAAGCUAGGGUAGCAAACGGGAUUAGAUACCCCGGUAGUCCUAGCCGUAAACGAUGAGCACUGGAUUGAAGGCUCCUCCAUAGGCUUUCAGUCGCAGAGAAAUUGUUUAGUGCUCCGCCUGGGGAGUAUGGUCGCAAG